RNAcentral lists this ribosomal RNA (494 nucleotides) under uncultured bacterium. Its description in RNAcentral is "partial 16S ribosomal RNA". It matches the Rfam family "Bacterial small subunit ribosomal RNA", at positions 28 to 507 of the family's 1533-position model. The record is from RNAcentral.
GACGAACGCUGGCGGCGUGCUUAACACAUGCAGGUCGAACGGAAAGGCCUGCUUUCCCUUGUGGAUUGCGGGUGCUCGAGUGGCGAACGGGUGAGUAACACGUGAGUGAUCUGCCCCCAACUUGGGUAUAAGCCUGGGAAACUGGGUCUAAUUCCCGAUAGGACUGCAGGGUGGUGCCUGUGGUGGAAAACGAUUUUCUAGUGGUUGGGGAUGAGCUCGCGGCCUAUCAGCUUGUUGGUGGGGUAAUGGCCUACCAAGGCGGCGACGGGUAGCCGGCCUGGGAGGGUGGACGGCCACAUUGGGACUGAGAUACGGCCCAGACUCCUACGGGAGGCAGCAGUGGGGAAUAUUGCACAAUGGGCGGAAGCCUGAUGCAGCGACGCCGCGUGGGGGAUGACGGCCUUCGGGUUGUAAACUCCUUUCGACCGCGAGGAAGCCACCUGGUUGGAAGGGUGGUGACGGUAGUGGUAGAAGAAGCACCGGCUAACUACGUG